GCAAACGACAAUGGCGAGUGAGACAAAGUGUGUGUUGAUUUUUCGUUGGUGUGGUUCGUGGCGUGGAUCAGUGAGGAGGAGUACAAUUCAUCGAAGAGAAUGACGAAAUAACUGUGGCGUCCGUUCCUCUGUUGUGGUUCGUCGUGAGUAUGAAACAACGGCGUGUGGCCAAGCAAAAUGUCUGGGGCUGACAUCUUGUCCCGUGCACCAGACCCUGACUGACCUUCAUUCAGAGCAUCAAGUUUGCAAAAAUGCACCUUCGACGCUCAGCUGCUAAGGUCGUGAUCGACCUGCACAUCCAGAAUGGGCACCUACAGCAGCAGAACAACUGCAAGUCCGUUGGGCAGGUGCUCAGGCACGUGGUGUCUUUCAAGCACCAGGAGAGCAGGCGAGGCCCAGGGAACAGGCGGGCCCAGGGAACAGGCGGCACCCCAGGAACUGGCCAGGCCUGAACCACGCGAGCUGUUCCUGAUGCCUCUCAGCAACAUGGAACAGUUUUGUGCUGCAGAAGCACAGCUGAAGAACUUCACCAACAGGACACUGCCGGUAUUUAUGUGUCCUCUUUUUCACAAUAAUGACAGGUAUAAGGCUGCAAUUAUUACUUUGUGGUUUAACUUGGGUUAUCUGAAUAUUUAUGCAAAUGGGGUUGAAAUGUGGACUGAAGCCACUUACUGUAAUAUUUCAAAUGUACGCCCACUCAAACUGUGUUUUAAGCACAGUCGGUGGCAAAUUAAAAAUGAGUAAGAUGCCC
Long non-coding RNA from Ixodes scapularis (black-legged tick), 751 nucleotides. RefSeq lists it as uncharacterized. The transcript has 3 exons. NCBI's taxonomy places the organism in Eukaryota, Metazoa, Arthropoda, Arachnida, Ixodida, Ixodidae. The record is from RefSeq and is a predicted model, not a curated record.